GGUAUGGCGCACGGCGCCACGGGUGCGCUAACACGUGGGCAAUCUGCCCUUCGAUGGGGAAUAACUCCGGGAAACCGAAGCUAAUUCCGCAUAACAUUCCCUGGACUCCGGUUUGGGGAUUCAAAGCAGCAAUGCGUCGAAGGAGGAGCCCGCGCCCGAUUAGCUAGUUGGUAGGGUAACGGCCUACCAAGGCUUUGAUCGGUAGCUGGUCUGAGAGGAUGGCCAGCCACACUGGAACUGAGACACGGUCCAGACUCCUACGGGAGGCAGCAGUGGGGAAUCUUGCGCAAUGGGCGAAAGCCUGACGCAGCGACGCCGCGUGGGGGAUGAAGCUUCUCGGAGUGUAAACCCCUUUCGACUGGGACGAAUGCCUCGCAAGAGGAGUGACGGUACCAGUAGAAGAAGCCCCGGCUAACUACGUGCCAGCAGCCGCGGUAAGACGUAGGGGGCCAGCGUUGUUCGGAAUUACUGGGUGUAAAGGGUUCGUAGGCGGUGUGGCAAGUCGGGAGUGAAAUUUCUGGGCUUAACCCAGAACCUGCUUCCGAAACUGCUGUGCUCGAGUGUGGGAGAGGCGCGUGGAAUUGCAGGUGUAGCGGUGAAAUGCGUAGAUAUCUGCAGGAACACCCGUGGCGAAAGCGGCGCGCUGGACCACUACUGACGCUGAGGAACGAAAGCUAGGGGAGCAAACAGGAUUAGAUACCCUGGUAGUCCUAGCCCUAAACGAUCAGGACUUGGGGUGCCACCCGUUCGGGUGUCGUCCCGGAGCUAACGCGUUAAGUCCUGCACCUGGGGAGUACGGUCGCAAGACUGAAACUCAAAGGAAUUGACGGGGGCCCGCACAAGCGGUGGAACAUGUGGUUCAUUCGACG
RNAcentral lists this ribosomal RNA (869 nucleotides) under uncultured soil bacterium. Its description in RNAcentral is "bacterial SSU rRNA". It matches the Rfam family "Bacterial small subunit ribosomal RNA", at positions 85 to 956 of the family's 1533-position model. The record is from RNAcentral.